AGUGAACGCUGGCGGCAGGCCUAACACAUGCAAGUCGAACGGCAGCACAAGAGAGCUUGCUCUCUGGGUGGCGAGUGGCGGACGGGUGAGGAAUGCAUCGGAAUCUGCCCAUUUGUGGGGGAUAACCUCGGGAAACCGGGACUAAUACCGCAUACGACCUACGGGUGAAAGCAGGGGAUCUUCGGACCUUGCGCAGAUGGAUGAGCCGAUGCCGGAUUAGCUAGUUGGAGGGGUAAAGGCCCACCAAGGCGACGAUCCGUAGCUGGUCUGAGAGGAUGAUCAGCCACACUGGAACUGAGACACGGCCCAGACUCCUACGGGAGGCAGCAGUGGGGAAUAUUGGACAAUGGGCGCAAGCCUGAUCCAGCCAUGCCGCGUGUGUGAAGAAGGCCUUCGGGUUGUAAAGCACUUUUGUUGGGAAAGAAAAGCAGCCGGUUAAUACCCGGUUGUCAUGACGGUACCCAAAGAAUAAGCACCGGCUAACUUCGU
This 489-nucleotide ribosomal RNA is filed under the name uncultured bacterium. RNAcentral's name for it is "partial 16S ribosomal RNA". It matches the Rfam family "Bacterial small subunit ribosomal RNA", at positions 29 to 506 of the family's 1533-position model. The record is from RNAcentral.